RNAcentral lists this non-coding RNA (23 nucleotides) under Arabidopsis thaliana (thale cress). The record is from RNAcentral. Lineage: Eukaryota; Viridiplantae; Streptophyta; Magnoliopsida; Brassicales; Brassicaceae.
ACUUGAUAAAUUAGACCAUCUCC